This 440-nucleotide ribosomal RNA is filed under the name uncultured bacterium. Its description in RNAcentral is "partial 16S ribosomal RNA". It matches the Rfam family "Bacterial small subunit ribosomal RNA", at positions 338 to 795 of the family's 1533-position model. The record is from RNAcentral.
CCUACGUGAGGCAGCAGUAGGGAAUAUUGCUCAAUGGGGGAAACCCUGAAGCAGCCACGCCGCGUGGAGGAUGACGGUUUUCGGAUUUUUAACUCCUUUUGUUAGAGGAGAUAAUGACGGUAUCUAACGAGUAAGCUCCGGAUAACUCCGUGCCAGCAGCCGCGGUAAUACGGAGGGUGCAAGCGUUACUCGGAAUCACUGGGCGUUAAGCGCGCGUAGGCGGGAUAGCAAGUCAGAUGUGAAAUCCUAUGGCUUAACCAUAGAACUGCAUCUGAAACUGUUAUUCUUGAGUAUGGGAGAGGUAGGUGGAAUUCUUGGUGUAGGGGUAAAAUCCGUAGAGAUCACGAGGAAUACUCAUUGCGAAGGCGACCUGCUAGAACGUAACUGACGCUGAUGCGCGAAAGCGUGGGUAGCAAACAGGAUUAGAUACCCUUGUAGUC